This 214-nucleotide unclassified non-coding RNA is filed under the name Hevea brasiliensis (rubber tree). Lineage: Eukaryota; Viridiplantae; Streptophyta; Magnoliopsida; Malpighiales; Euphorbiaceae. The record is from RNAcentral.
CCGGCGGACAUAGAGCUUGAUGUUGUUCUUGGUCUUCUUUGUCUCAAAGAGAUCGAAUGGAGCACGCUUGGGGACGAAGAGGAUAGCGCGGAAUUCGAGCUGACCCUCAACGGAGAAAUGCUUGACGGCGAGAUGGUCUUCCCAGUCAUUGGACAAAGACUUGUAGAAAGAGGCGUACUCCUCGGUAGUGAUGUCUUGAGGAUUUCUUGUCCAG